UACGUAGGGUGCGAGCGUUGUCCGGAAUUAUUGGGCGUAAAGAGCUCGUAGGCGGCCUGUCGCGUCGGAUGUGAAAGCCCCGGGGCUUAACCCCGGGGUCUGCAUUCGAUACGGGCAGGCUAGAGUUCGGUAGGGGAGAUCGGAAUUCCUGGUGUAGCGGUGAAAUGCGCAGAUAUCAGGAGGAACAGCCGGUGGCGAAGGCGGAUCUCGUGGGCCGAUACUGACGCUGAGGAGCGAAAGCGUGGGGAGCGAACAGG
Molecule: ribosomal RNA, 257 nt
Filed under: uncultured bacterium
Lineage: Bacteria
Description: partial 16S ribosomal RNA
Rfam family: Bacterial small subunit ribosomal RNA
Source: RNAcentral